UACGUAGGGUGCGAGCGUUAAUCGGAAUUACUGGGCGUAAAGGGCGCGUAGGCGGCAUAUUAAGUCAGCUGUGAAAUCUCCGAGCUUAACUCGGAACUGUCAGCUGAUACUGAUGUGCUAGAGUGCAGAAGGGGCAAUCGGAAUUCUUGGUGUAGCGGUGAAAUGCGUAGAUAUCAAGAGGAACACCUGAGGUGAAGACGGGUUGCUGGGCUCACACUGACGCUGAUAGCGCGAAAGCCAGGGGAGCAAACGGG
RNAcentral lists this ribosomal RNA (254 nucleotides) under uncultured bacterium. RNAcentral's name for it is "partial 16S ribosomal RNA". It matches the Rfam family "Bacterial small subunit ribosomal RNA", at positions 524 to 776 of the family's 1533-position model. The record is from RNAcentral.